Molecule: non-coding RNA, 784 nt
Organism: Trichechus manatus latirostris (Florida manatee)
Lineage: Eukaryota; Metazoa; Chordata; Mammalia; Sirenia; Trichechidae
Source: the annotation of a RefSeq genome assembly
UGUGGGGAUUGUGCUGGUGAUGGCUGCUUGCUUUGUUGCUUGGGACCUCCCCCAGCCUAGAACCCCAGGUUUCACUUGAACUAUGAGGCUGGUGACAGGAAUGGCUGUUCUCCUAACUUUGGGUAUCACAGGUGAUGCUAAAACCACACAGCCAAAUUCAAUGGAGAGUACUGAAGGAAAACCUGUAAACUUGCCUUGUAACCACUCCACAAUCGGUGGAAGUGAGUAUAUAUAUUGGUAUCGACAGACUCCCCAUCAGGGUCCAGAGUAUGUGAUUCAUGGCAUGAAUAACAAUGUGACCAACGAAAUGGCCUCUCUGACCAUCCCUACUGGCAGAAAGUCCAGUACCCUGAUCCUGCCCCACGUUACUCUGAGAGACACAGCUGUGUACUACUGCAUGGUGAGAGACACACAGUGGCUCUGAUGGGGCUACACCUGUGCAGUAUCUUCCUGGUGGGGGAAGGGAAGCAGUAGGCUUCAUCUAAGAAACUACUGCACAAGAAUGACAGAAGCUCAACAGAAGAAGAAAAGUAAAGGAUAAAAAAGGAAAAGAAAGAAGACAGAGAGAGGAAAUCAAGGAGAAGGAGAAGAUAAAAGGGAUGAAAAGGGUGAGGAAGAGAGCUUUCAUUUUUGAAGGGACUAGAAGCUUGAGAAGAGACUAAGAAUAGCAAUUGUAAUCCUGCAAUAAAAGAAAAGGAAAUGAGAAUGUGUCAAGACUCUUUCUUUUAAUCGAAUGUUGCUGUUUGUGUUGUUGUUAAGCGCUGUCAAGACAGUUCUAACUCAU